GAUGAACGCUGGCGGCGUGCCUAAUACAUGCAAGUCGAGCGAACGGACGAGAAGCUUGCUUCUCUGAUGUUAGCGGCGGACGGGUGAGUAACACGUGGAUAACCUACCUAUAAGACUGGGAUAACUUCGGGAAACCGGAGCUAAUACCGGAUAAUAUUUUGAACCGCAUGGUUCAAAAGUUCAAGACGGUCUUGCUGUCACUAAUAGAUGGAUCCGCGCUGCAUUAGCUAGUUGGUAAGGUAACGGCUUACCAAGGCAACGAUGCAUAGCCGACCUGAGAGGGUGAUCGGCCACACUGGAACUGAGACACGGUCCAGACUCCUACGGGAGGCAGCAGUAGGGAAUCUUCCGCAAUGGGCGAAAGCCUGACGGAGCAACGCCGCGUGAGUGAUGAAGGUCUUCGGAUCGUAAAACUCUGUUAUUAGGGAAGAAAAUAUGUGUAAGUAACUGUGCACAUCUUGACGGUACCUAAUCAGAAAGCAACGGCUAACUACGUG
This 497-nucleotide ribosomal RNA is filed under the name uncultured bacterium. RNAcentral describes it as "partial 16S ribosomal RNA". It matches the Rfam family "Bacterial small subunit ribosomal RNA", at positions 28 to 507 of the family's 1533-position model. The record is from RNAcentral.